CGGCCUAUCGUCCAACCUGGAUAGGGCGCAGGUUUCCGAAACCUGAAAUUCCGGUUCGAAUCCGGAUGGGCCGGCCA
This 77-nucleotide transfer RNA is filed under the name Acidobacteriota bacterium. RNAcentral's name for it is "Acidobacteria bacterium tRNA-Arg". It matches the Rfam family "tRNA". From Rfam's summary of the family: Transfer RNA (tRNA) molecules are approximately 80 nucleotides in length. RNAcentral also lists the same sequence under 1 other name. Lineage: Bacteria; Pseudomonadati; Acidobacteriota. The record is from RNAcentral.